RNAcentral lists this ribosomal RNA (253 nucleotides) under uncultured bacterium. Its description in RNAcentral is "partial 16S ribosomal RNA". It matches the Rfam family "Bacterial small subunit ribosomal RNA", at positions 524 to 776 of the family's 1533-position model. The record is from RNAcentral.
UACAUGGGGUGCAAACGUUGCUCGGAAUUAUUGGGCGUAAAGCGCGCGUAGGCGGUUACUCAAGUCGGAUGUGAAAGCCCUCGGCUUAACUGAGGAAGUGCACCCGAAACUGAGUAGCUAGAGUACUAAAGAGGGUCGCGGAAUUCCCGGUGUAGAGGUGAAAUUCGUAGAUAUCGGGAGGAACACCGGUGGCGAAGGCGGCUCACUGGCUCGUUUCUGACGCUCAGGCGCGACAGCGUGGGGAUCAAACAGG